RNAcentral lists this microRNA (22 nucleotides) under Mus musculus (house mouse). RNAcentral's name for it is "mmu-miR-1900". Lineage: Eukaryota; Metazoa; Chordata; Mammalia; Rodentia; Muridae. The record is from miRBase by way of RNAcentral.
GGCCGCCCUCUCUGGUCCUUCA